Molecule: long non-coding RNA, 450 nt
Filed under: Bos taurus (domestic cattle)
Lineage: Eukaryota; Metazoa; Chordata; Mammalia; Artiodactyla; Bovidae
Description: long non-coding RNA NONBTAT018248
Source: RNAcentral
AGCACCUCACCUGGCCCUGAGGAAACAGCUCAGUCAUCCCCUAAUAGGGAUGAACAGCAAAGUGCUCACCAUGCUGACAUCUAUUCCCUGCGUGGUUUACUUUAUUAUGAAGUCUGAAUUUGGUGCCCAAGUUCUGGCCUGACCUCACUAAUAUCUCUAGUUUAAGAGAAGAUAGCCAUGGCUGGGAUGACUGUUAAUCUAAUGAAAUCAACUAAGAAUGUCUAUAGAUGGAAAAACCAAGACUCCUUAGUAAUGGAGUCCAAAGAAGGUCAGGGAAUCGUUUCUGGCUGUUGAAAGUUGGCUGCAACUGAAUAAUAGAACAAAGUCUGAGCUUCAAAAUCAUGCUGCGUCUGGGUCCCUUUGACUGUAAGAAAUCAGCUUUGAAGACUACAUGAGGAGCCUCUGAUGUGAUCUAAGCUUGUCAUUUUUCAUUGUCUUUUAAAAGCAUUC